Molecule: long non-coding RNA, 840 nt
Organism: Taeniopygia guttata (zebra finch)
Lineage: Eukaryota; Metazoa; Chordata; Aves; Passeriformes; Estrildidae
Source: RefSeq, a predicted model, not a curated record
GUAGGGCUUUCGGUACGCGCCCUCGUAGCAGAAGAAGCCUUGCACGUUGACGGUGAAGGUGUCCGUGUACUCGAAGUAAUAAGCCAGCAUCACGGUCCCUGCCAUGAUCACCAUCUGGAAGUAAAGCAUGCUGUUUGUUUAUGAGGAUGCAGCAAAGACAGAACACUGAAGAAAGCAGAAAACCCAAGUGGCAAAAGUCAGCUACAAAGACACAAAGCAUUUGUAAACCCUGGGAUUCUGCCAUGAAUGACACCAUCACCAGGCCACUGAGGAUACACCUCACAGGAAUUCAGGAAUUUCCUGCACUGGUUCAUUUCCUAAAGCCACACUUUUUAUGCCCCCUGCAGCACAGACACCUCUGCACUUCAAGAAACUCCCACCUUCUGCAGAUAUCUCCUCUACACUAUCCUUUUUGGCUACAAAGCUAAGCUCAGAGCAGGACUGAAAAGACAAACAUAUUUAAGGCACUAGGCAUGCUCGCACUGAAAGUUGUGUGUUUCUCCAAAUGACUGGAUUCCUACCAAACAAUUGCUGCAGGAAGCAUUAGUUUCCAUCAAUCAUUAUUCAGAUACUUCCUCCUAUCAAGGUAUUUCUGCCCUUGGAGAUGUAUUCAAAAUUUAUAAGGCUCUGAGGAACCUUACCAAAAAGUGAGGUCAGCCCUGCUCUGAACCUAAAAUUUUCUCUGGUUCUGUGAGUUAUAUUUGAUUUACUCCAAGUCAGACAUUUGCUGGUUUUAAUCUUAAUGGUUACAAUCUGUUCUAAUGCUGGUUCACUGAAAUUAUUGUAAUUCACUUGAUUAUUGUAAUUAAUAUCUAAGAAUAAAAUCAUAUUUUCUCUAAA